RNAcentral lists this long non-coding RNA (3099 nucleotides) under Canis lupus familiaris (dog). Its description in RNAcentral is "lncRNA (ENSCAFG00040025981.1)". The record is from RNAcentral. Lineage: Eukaryota; Metazoa; Chordata; Mammalia; Carnivora; Canidae.
GUCCAGCCCCGGAGAGAGAACCUUCGGCCGCCUCGGCCGCCUGCUGGAGCCGCCGCCGCUCCCGGGUGCCCCAGCCGCCCGCAGCCCGCGCGCUCCUCCUCGCCAAGUGACUGCGAGCUCCGCGCCUCUCCGCACUAUAUCCAGGCGGCGGCGGCGGCGGCGGCGGCGGCGGCGGCGGCGGCGGCGGCAGCAGCAGCGGCCGCCGCGGCGGCAGCAGAGCCGGGCGGGAGGGAGGCGGGGGCGGGGGCGCGGGCGCGGGCGCGGGCGCGGGCGCGGGGAGGGGGGCGCGGCCGAGGCGUAUCCCUCCGCGCCGCGCGGCCCCGGGAUUCGUCCGCAGUCGAGCUCGCAGCCGCGGGUUCGGCCCCCGGGGCCUCCGAGGACGGAGGCGGCCCGGAGCCCUGCACGCCGCCGGCUAGUCCGCGGGAGCCGAUGCCGGGGCUGCGGGCGGCCGCCGGGCCCGCGCUCUACGCGCGUCCGCACUUAGCCGGAGCGGGGCGCCGGGGGGCGGGCGGGCUGUUCCGCGGCCCUCGCCCCCCCGAGGGGAGCCCGUCCCGCCCGGGCCUCGCCCCCCGCCGACCCAUGGGCCGGCUGCCCCUCCCCACGCCUUCCCCGGUGCCGCGGCGGACGGGAGGCAGCUGUGCUCUAGUGUCCACACUGCCCGUCUCCUCCGGCUGGAGAGGGGAGGCGGAGGGAUGUGGACGCUGCCUCCCGUCCACGCGGACCCGCCGCGUUAAGAGCAGGAAGAAUUUUUUCAAGAGCUUAAUCUGAAGGAAUAUUUUUCUACUCAAAGUCGCAUCAGGAUCGAUGGAGAGAGAGAGAGCAAGAGAAAGAAAAAAUUAUCCCCACUCCUUGAGGACAAAAAUGAAGUUGGAGAAUUGGACAUGGAUAAGUCCUACGGUUGGAAAAAUGAUCUGGCCUCAAAACCUAUGGAUUUCCAUUAUAUCCCUUGCUCUCAUAAUAUUUAUCUUCUUAUGCAAAAGCCCCACAUUUAGAAGAAAAAAAAGCUGAGUAAAAGAGGAAUUCAUUGACUAUCUCUUGGAUCUUUGAAUUUGCUGAAGCAUACUCAUAAAAAUAAGGCCUGGAGAAAGGACUUUAUACAUUUAAGUUUAAAUACAAAAGAAGUCACUAUGCUAAAACCAAACUUAUUUUCUGAGAAAAGGAUAUGCUAAGAAGCUUAGAACUCAGUGUAUAAAAUGAAGCAGAGGAGUUAAGUCUUAAGGAAGUUACCUCUGUUUCUUUCAAGUGCCCCCUUCAAACAAUGUCUUUAAGAAGCAUUUUUCGUUCUUAGCUUUAACCAUAUCCAUUUGAUUCCCAUCUGAUAUGAAUAUGGAAUUCCUUUUUAUCUUUACAAAUAAAUCAGUGAUGUGAAGAGAACUUGAUCAUAGGGAGGAAAUAUUUUCAUAGCCUUCUGCCUUUUAGUAAUUAACACUAGCUUCUAAAUAUACAGAAUAACAGGCUCAUGCAUCACAUGUUUAUAAAGCAUUUCUUAGGUGAAUAAUAAGUAUAAUUUUCCUAACAUAUCCAUAUGGAAAGAGAUUCAAGCAUUUUUUUCCCCAGACAACUGUCAUUAAUAUAUCAAAUGAUCUACUUCUCGACCUCUACCAUACACUAAAUUUUUAUAGGUACUUAAGUAUUUCAUGGUUUUCAGCAAAGUUCUCGGUUUCUUCAAAUUUUCAGUGUGCCAAUGGUUAUUUUCCCAUUAUAAUUCUGUAUGUGUGUUGUGCAUGUUCCUUCUUAUUUCUGAUUAUUAUUGCUGUUUAUGUAUUUUACUAUUUUAUUCAAAUAAUUGGCUUAAAGCUUUAAUUACUAAGUGUAACACUAUUUUGCUGCUCAUCUAUUUCAACAAUUCAAUAUUUUUCUUCCAUCUUCUAUCUUUAUUUUAUGAUUUUUCCUUAAGCUUUUGAGUUAUAUGCUAAAAAAUGUUAAAUUUUCUUUUUAACUUUGGGAUGCCUGGGUGGCUCAGUGGUUGAGCAUCUGCCUUCGGCUCGGGGCAUGAUCCCAGAGUCCCAGGAUUGAGUCCCACAUCGGGCUCACUGCAUGGAACCUGCUUCUCCUUCUGCCUGUGUCUCUGCCUCUCUCUCUAUGUCUCUCAUGAAUAAAUAAAAUAUUUAAAAAAAAUAUAUAUAUAUAUAUAAAUUUUCUUUUUAACUUAAUAUAAAAAUUUAGAGUUAUUCAUUGUUCUCCUAAUAAUUGCUUAACUUGUAUCCCAGGUAAAAAUUCAGUUUCGAUUUCCUUUCAACCACUUUGAAGAAGAAUUUUGUUGUUGAUUUGUGUUGUUUUUUUUUUUAAUUUUUACAUAUGGUGGGCUUUUAAAAUUCUGAUUUAUUAUCCAUAAGUAGUUUUAUUUUAUUGAGAUUAGAGAAUGUCCUCUGUACUCAUUUUUCUUUUCAGAAUUGAGUGAAAAUUUCUUUGUGGAGAAAUAGAUAACAUUCUUUAAAUGUUUCAUGUAUAAGUGAAAAGAAUGUCUAAUUUAUGUUUUCAAGAAAUACAAUACAGCAUAUUGGAAUUUGAUCUGACUUGCUGUUAAGUCAUUAUGUUAUCAUCUCAUUUGGUUGGCCAUAGAAUUAUGGAGGUAUAGUAAAAUGUCUUUCCUAUACUGUGUCUCUCUCUUUCUAUUUUGUCUUCUGUGGUUGUUGUUAUGAAUGCAAAUGCCGUGUUAUUAUGUGUCACAUAGACAUUUGUAUAGUACUUUGAUAUAAAUUUUAAGUAUUUGGGAAUAAACUUUGUGCUUUUCAAUUAUUUAAAAUAGUUGCCAGCUCUACCCACCCCCACCUUCUCUUCCAAAUGUAGAAGCUAUUUUUUUGUUUUUUGGUAAUCAGCUGGAUGCACAGUUGUUUUUCAUUGUGAAUUGAAUUUUCAUUUCCUUGACCAUUAAGAAGAUUAUGCUCCAUUUGCCAUCAUAUGUUAAUUGGCUAUUGAGUUUUCCUAUUAGUGAUUUUUUUCAUAUAAUUUUUCUGUUUAUAUGUUGCAUUGUAUUUAAUUUUGUUAUCAAUAGACACAUGCUUUUGUAUAAUAGAGACAUUAACCAUUUGUUUUCUGGGUUUCAAGCAUCCCUCUUAUUUAUUCUUAUAACCUGGGUUUGUUUGUCACAUAUUUUGU